UACGUAGGGUGCGAGCGUUAAUCGGAAUUACUGGGCGUAAAGCGUGCGCAGGCGGUUUUUUAAGCCAGAUGUGAAAUCCCCGGGCUUAACCUGGGAAUGGCAUUUGGGACUGCAAGGCUAGAGUGUGGCAGAGGAGACUGGAAUUCCUGGUGUAGCAGUGAAAUGCGUAGAUAUCAGGAGGAAUACCGAUGGCGAAGGCAGGUCUCUGGGCUAACACUGACGCUCAUGCACGAAAGCGUGGGGAGCAAACAGG
Molecule: ribosomal RNA, 253 nt
Filed under: uncultured bacterium
Lineage: Bacteria
Description: partial 16S ribosomal RNA
Rfam family: Bacterial small subunit ribosomal RNA
Source: RNAcentral